This 1277-nucleotide ribosomal RNA is filed under the name Lactiplantibacillus plantarum. RNAcentral's name for it is "bacterial SSU rRNA". It matches the Rfam family "Bacterial small subunit ribosomal RNA", at positions 192 to 1455 of the family's 1533-position model. Lineage: Bacteria; Bacillati; Bacillota; Bacilli; Lactobacillales; Lactobacillaceae. The record is from RNAcentral.
GUCCGAGCUUGAAAGAUGGCUUCGGCUAUCACUUUUGGAUGGUCCCGCGGCGUAUUAGCUAGAUGGUGGGGUAACGGCUCACCAUGGCAAUGAUACGUAGCCGACCUGAGAGGGUAAUCGGCCACAUUGGGACUGAGACACGGCCCAAACUCCUACGGGAGGCAGCAGUAGGGAAUCUUCCACAAUGGACGAAAGUCUGAUGGAGCAACGCCGCGUGAGUGAAGAAGGGUUUCGGCUCGUAAAACUCUGUUGUUAAAGAAGAACAUAUCUGAGAGUAACUGUUCAGGUAUUGACGGUAUUUAACCAGAAAGCCACGGCUAACUACGUGCCAGCAGCCGCGGUAAUACGUAGGUGGCAAGCGUUGUCCGGAUUUAUUGGGCGUAAAGCGAGCGCAGGCGGUUUUUUAAGUCUGAUGUGAAAGCCUUCGGCUCAACCGAAGAAGUGCAUCGGAAACUGGAAAACUUGAGUGCAGAAGAGGACAGUGGAACUCCAUGUGUAGCGGUGAAAUGCGUAGAUAUAUGGAAGAACACCAGUGGCGAAGGCGGCUGUCUGGUCUGUAACUGACGCUGAGGCUCGAAAGUAUGGGUAGCAAACAGGAUUAGAUACCCUGGUAGUCCAUACCGUAAACGAUGAAUGCUAAGUGUUGGAGGGUUUCCGCCCUUCAGUGCUGCAGCUAACGCAUUAAGCAUUCCGCCUGGGGAGUACGGCCGCAAGGCUGAAACUCAAAGGAAUUGACGGGGGCCCGCACAAGCGGUGGAGCAUGUGGUUUAAUUCGAAGCUACGCGAAGAACCUUACCAGGUCUUGACAUACUAUGCAAAUCUAAGAGAUUAGACGUUCCCUUCGGGGACAUGGAUACAGGUGGUGCAUGGUUGUCGUCAGCUCGUGUCGUGAGAUGUUGGGUUAAGUCCCGCAACGAGCGCAACCCUUAUUAUCAGUUGCCAGCAUUAAGUUGGGCACUCUGGUGAGACUGCCGGUGACAAACCGGAGGAAGGUGGGGAUGACGUCAAAUCAUCAUGCCCCUUAUGACCUGGGCUACACACGUGCUACAAUGGAUGGUACAACGAGUUGCGAACUCGCGAGAGUAAGCUAAUCUCUUAAAGCCAUUCUCAGUUCGGAUUGUAGGCUGCAACUCGCCUACAUGAAGUCGGAAUCGCUAGUAAUCGCGGAUCAGCAUGCCGCGGUGAAUACGUUCCCGGGCCUUGUACACACCGCCCGUCACACCAUGAGAGUUUGUAACACCCAAAGUCGGUGGGGUAACCUUUUAGGAACCUAGCCG